RNAcentral lists this ribosomal RNA (492 nucleotides) under uncultured bacterium. RNAcentral describes it as "partial 16S ribosomal RNA". It matches the Rfam family "Bacterial small subunit ribosomal RNA", at positions 29 to 507 of the family's 1533-position model. The record is from RNAcentral.
AGUGAACGCUGGCGGUAGGCCUAACACAUGCAAGUCGAACGGCAGCACAGUAAGAGCUUGCUCUUACGGGUGGCGAGUGGCGGACGGGUGAGGAAUACAUCGGAAUCUACUUUUUCGUGGGGGAUAACGUAGGGAAACUUACGCUAAUACCACAUACGACCUACGGGUGAAAGCAGGGGAUCUUCGGACCUUGCGCGAUUGAAUGAGCCGAUGUCGGAUUAGCUAGUUGGCGGGGUAAAGGCCCACCAAGGCGACGAUCCGUAGCUGGUCUGAGAGGAUGAUCAGCCACACUGGAACUGAGACACGGUCCAGACUCCUACGGGAGGCAGCAGUGGGGAAUAUUGGACAAUGGGCGCAAGCCUGAUCCAGCCAUACCGCGUGGGUGAAGAAGGCCUUCGGGUUGUAAAGACCUUUUGUUGGGAAAGAAAAGCAGCAGGUUAAUACCCCGCUGUUCUGACGGUACCCAAAGAAUAAGCACCGGCUAACUUCGUG